UGCGCAGGCGGUUGUGUAAGACAGGUGUGAAAUCCCCGGGCUUAACCUGGGAAUUGCAUUUGUGACUGCACGACUAGAGUGUGUCAGAGGGGGUGGAAUUCCACGUGUAGCAGUGAAAUGCGUAGAUAUGUGGAGGAACACCAAUGGCGAAGGCAGCCCCCUGGGAUAACACUGACGCUCAUGCACGAAAGCGUGGGGAGCAAACA
This 206-nucleotide ribosomal RNA is filed under the name uncultured bacterium. RNAcentral's name for it is "partial 16S ribosomal RNA". It matches the Rfam family "Bacterial small subunit ribosomal RNA", at positions 568 to 774 of the family's 1533-position model. The record is from RNAcentral.